CAGGCGCGGUGACACCAUGGGGUGUCACCCAGACGCCACCACCAGCCUCGGUGACACCCCGAGGCGUCACCCAGACGCCACCACCGGCCUCGGUGACACCCCUGGACGCGGUGACACCCCCGGCCGUCACCCAGCCGCCCCCCCCGGGCGCCCUGCCCCCCCGCGGCCUGCCGGCAGCCCCCCCCCCGGCGGCGGGGGGGUGGCGGGGGGUGCUGGGGGCGGGGCGGCGCCCGGGGGGGGCGGUGCUGGCGGCCGCCUCGCUGCUGCUGCUGGCGGCUCACGGCGGCCUCCUGGGCGGCGACCUGCGGCGCCUGGGCCAGCGGCGGCCCCCGGGGCCCCCCCGGCUGCGGCUCACGCGGGGGCUGCUGCUGUCGCACGUGCUGAGCUUCUCGUGGGCGCUGGCGGGGGCCUUGCGCAGCGCCCGCCCCCCCCGCGCCCUGCCGAGCCGCCUGGCGCUGGCCUCCCUGGCCGCCAACGCCGCGCUCUGCCUGGGCCGCGUCGCCUUCGAGUACGGGGCCCUGCCGCACCGGCCCGAGCGCUACUGAGGCCUCGCGCGCUCGUCGCGCCGAUGCCCACGCCCGGGGGGGCCCAGGCGUCCGGGCUGCCCCCCCCCCCCCAUCCGCCACCGCCACCCGCCACCACCAAGCCGACGUCGCCCGCGCCGCCACCGGCACGCGCAAGGGGCCCAGGCGUCCGGGUGCCCGCCAAGGGCCCAGGCGUCCGGGUUCGUCUCCGUCCCGGGGAAGGGGCCCAGGCGUCCGGGUCCCCGCCAAGAGCCCAGGCGUCCGGGCCUGUCUCGCUCCCUGCGGAGGGCCCAGGCGUCCGGGCCCAGCUCCGUCCUGGGGAAGGGGCCCAGGCGUCCGGGUCCCCACCGAGGGCCCAGGCGUCCGGGCCCGUCUCCGUCCCGGGGAAGGGGCCCAGGCGUCCGGGUCCCCACCGAGGGCCCAGGCGUCCGGGCCCGUCUCCGUCCCGGGGAAGGGGCCCAGGCGUCCGGGUCCCCACCGAGGGCCCAGGCGUCCGGGCCCGUCUCCGUCCCGGGGAAGGGGCCCAGGCGUCCGGGCCGCUCGUUACCUCCCGCCUUCGUUAAUAAACGGCGCGGCCUAACGAC
Molecule: long non-coding RNA, 1108 nt
Organism: Dromaius novaehollandiae (emu)
Lineage: Eukaryota; Metazoa; Chordata; Aves; Casuariiformes; Dromaiidae
Exons: 3
Source: RefSeq, a predicted model, not a curated record